UACGAAGGGGGCUAGCGUUGCUCGGAAUUACUGGGCGUAAAGCGCACGUAGGCGGCUUUCUAAGUCGGGGGUGAAAUCCUGGAGCUCAACUCCAGAACUGCCUUCGAUACUGGAGAGCUUGAGUCCGGGAGAGGUGAGUGGAACUGCGAGUGUAGAGGUGAAAUUCGUAGAUAUUCGCAAGAACACCAGUGGCGAAGGCGGCUCACUGGCCCGGGUACUGACGCUGAGGUGCGAAAGCGUGGGGAGCAAACAGGG
RNAcentral lists this ribosomal RNA (255 nucleotides) under uncultured bacterium. RNAcentral describes it as "partial 16S ribosomal RNA". It matches the Rfam family "Bacterial small subunit ribosomal RNA", at positions 524 to 777 of the family's 1533-position model. The record is from RNAcentral.